This 468-nucleotide ribosomal RNA is filed under the name uncultured bacterium. RNAcentral describes it as "partial 16S ribosomal RNA". It matches the Rfam family "Bacterial small subunit ribosomal RNA", at positions 28 to 507 of the family's 1533-position model. The record is from RNAcentral.
GAUGAACGCUGGCGGCGUGCUUAACACAUGCAAGUCGAACGAAAAGGCCCGGCUUUUGUGGGGUGCUCGUGUGGCGAAGGGGUGUGAAACACGUGUGUAACCUGCCCCUGACUGUGGGAUAACUUCAGGAAACUGCGGCUAAUACCGCAUAGGAUCUCCUGCUGCAUGGUGGGGGUUGGAAAAUUUCGGCGGUUGGGGAUGGAUUCGCGGCUUAUCAGCUUGUUGGGGAGGUAGUGGCUUACGAAGGCUUCGACGGGUAGCCGGCAUGAGAGGGUGACCGGCCACAAUGGGACUGAGAUACGGCCCAGACUCCUACGGUAGGCAGCAGUGGGGAAUAUUGCACAAUGGGCGCAAGCCUGAUGCAGCGACGCCGCGUGCGGGAUGACGGGCUUCGGGUUGUAAACCGCUUUCGCCUGUGACGAAGCGUGAGUGACGGUAAUUGGUAAAGAAGCCCCGGCUAACUACGUG